This 191-nucleotide ribosomal RNA is filed under the name uncultured bacterium. RNAcentral describes it as "partial 16S ribosomal RNA". It matches the Rfam family "Bacterial small subunit ribosomal RNA", at positions 1307 to 1500 of the family's 1533-position model. The record is from RNAcentral.
GCAACUCGCCUGCAUGAAGGCGGAAUUGCUAGUAAUCGCGGAUCAGCAUGCCGCGGUGAAUACGUUCCCGGGCCUUGUACACACCGCCCGUCACACCAUGAGAGUUGGCAACACCCGAAGUCAGCAGGCAAACAGUGAAGCCGCUGCCGAAGGUGGGGUUGAUGAUUGGGGUGAAGUCGUAACAAGGUAGC